UUCUUCUUCUUCGUCUUUUUUUUUUCUCUCCAUUUUUGGUGAGUUUCAUAGGUGAUGUUUUGAUUUCCUCUAUUUCUUUAAUUGUAUCUAUGUUUUAAUCUGAGUGAAAUUUUAGGAGAUUAUUUUUUUUAUUUGACUGAAUUUUUCUUUGUGCAUGUGUUAGCUUUGUCUUGAUGUUGAGAUGGAUGACUUUCUUUUGCUCUUCUUUCUUUUUCCUCUGCAAAUAAAUGUCCUCUUUUGUUCUGAUUUCGCUUUGCUUAGUUCGUUUUUUUUCUUUUUUUUUCUUUUCAUUUUGUUUAUUUCUUACAGCUAUAUUAUAUCAGUCUGAGUAAAAUUUUUAGAAAAUUUUAGGAGUUGAUAUUUUAUGAUUUUGACCGAGUAUUUUUUCUGUGCAUGUGUUGCCUAUGUCCUGAGAAUAAUUGAUGAGAAUAAUUGAAGAAGAUAUUCCAAAGUUUUUCUUUUAGAAAUUUUAGAUAUGGUAUUUUAAUAUUUUUACUUUUACUCCUCUUUCUUUUUUUUUUUUUAGCCUCUAUUUUUUGGCACGACAUGUCUAUGUUUUCUUAUUUUUUACCCGCAACUAUAUGCCUCAUUUUGUUCUGAUUUUGCUUUGAUUUAUUUGGUCUAGCAAAUUGAUAGAAUUUCUCACUUUGUGUUUUAAGUCCUCUGUUUUAUACUUUUAUUAUUUCACUUACUUAUUACUAACUGAAUAUUGAUGGAUAUUUAAUUACCUAAUGUAUUAAGUUUUUUAGGAUUCUGAAAGUCAAAUUUGUUCUAUGUGCAAAAAAUUACCUCUUCGUGAUGAAAAAACAUCAACACUUCUUCUAUAAAAGGCAAUUUAUGUUCCCUUGAUGUGGUGUGUUCAGUUAUAUAAUACAUGAUUGUUCUGCUCCAUAUAUAUUUUAUACUGUAUGGUUUUGUGCGCUGUUGAAAUCUUGAACAUCAUAUCGCCUGUAGAGAAAUGUCGUAUGAGAAAAGAUAAUACUUCUAGAACGAUGUGUUAUCUCUUUCCGAAUAAAUUUCCUCAUCAAUAACAGAGUAUUCAUUUAGUUGGAUUUACAAAAUUACCCAUCAGCAACUAUAAUCCUGACUUUUUGUUAUUUAUUUAGUUGGAGUGUAAUGGUUGCAAAAUUACUAUUUUACAUGUUUUUGAAAGUGGGAGUUAGGCAAGAUGAAGAAAAAAACUGUUUGUAUUCAUUUCGUAUAGAGGCAAUUUUGACACUUUUCUUGUUAUAACUCUACACGCUUAAUUAUAUUGCUUAUGGUUCUGAAAGUUAUAGUAAAUACAAUCAAAUCACAUGAUAUGAUAGAAAGAGAUCUUUUGCCUGAAAUUUCAUUGAGAUCUGUUAGAUUGAGUUUUCUGGUGCCCUCAAAAUUAGGUAGUUGUAUAAGAUUUCUAUUAAUCAACUACAAAAUCACCACAGGCAUUAACAACUCCCCGAUGCAUCCAACUUUGAUUGAAGAAUAUAGAGAGUUCCAGAGAGAGGUACGAGAAAUAAUCCUCAAAAUUUAAAAACAAUGCUACUGGAUCAAUAAAUCAAAUAUUUGUUAAUAUCUCUUCUGUCUGUGCACCAUGUUUGAUAAAAAUUAGAAAGGUUAUUGUUCAUUUGAGAGAGCUUAAAAUUAGAGUUUUAGUACUGAAAACUUUUAAAUUAAUGUUGCAUAGUAAAAAUCUAUGGUUAAAUGUUGCCUACAGUUUCAAAAUUGUUUAUACAAGAACUAAUUAUGUCAAGCACGUUUCUUAUUUAUAACUUGUUGACCUUUUGCGCCUUGUGUUUUAACGUUACUAUCAGAAUGACCUUUUUGGUGAUGAUUUGGUGCGCUUUUGGAAGACAUGAGGAGCUCUUAACGUGGAAUCAGAUGCAAAGGUUUUAACAACCAUCCCACCUAUUUUUUGACAAACUGAAAAUUUUGCUAUGGAGGAAAAAUAUCUGAGAACAAUAUCAUCACUAAUUUAUGUUAGUGAAGCUCUCUGAUAAGCAUGUAUUAAGGUUAUGGCUGCAUUGAUUCAAGGAGGCCAGCAAACCUGAUUAUUAAUUCACCUAAUCCCCCAGGUAAUUAACGUUAUAAAUUUGGUAUGCAUUGAUCACAUAGAAUUAAGAGAAACAAUUUUAUCUUUCUGUAAAUUCCUGCACUUAUUUAUAUAGAUGAUUUGAUAAAUUCUUUUUGUAUGGAAAUGUAUAGUGAUGAGAUAAACUAAAGGGAUAGAUUUAGAUAGGAUGAUACGACACUGGUAAUACGAAUUGUUUGCAUUUGGUUCUUCCCGUUUUUUAGUUUUUUUCUCUUUUUUAAUCAUUCUCACAAAUACUCUCUGACCUUGAUUUAUAUUUUUAUAACAUUGUGAAAGAGAAAUUAGAUCAAUCAUAUUAACAGAUCAAUAAAAUUAAUAUAACAAAUUUUAUCACGAUUGUUUAGUUUACCUGAAUAUGACAUACUCAUAUAGUCUCGCAAAGUGGAGUCUGGAAAGAAUAGAGUGUACGCAAACCCAAUAUCCACCUCAAAGGUAGAGCUCCUGUUUAUCUCAAUGAAAUUUUUUAUUCUGUAUGUCAUUAUUCUUUCUUCUUUUGUUCAUGGGAUUCUUUGACUCUUUCUCUUGGGACAUACAUGAUUGGAAUCACACUAUUUGAAUUGAUUGGCUAAUAAAUAUACUAGGCUAGCUUUAUAUUCAUUUUUCUUAUUUCACUCUGAUAAAGUAUUAUAUUUGACAUGUUACAUAAUAAACUUAUUGCUUGAUGGUGCAGAACCCUUGAGAAUGAUGGGUUGGUCCAGUUAGAAUAGGACUUAAAAUACUAAAGCUAGGGCUCAUACUUUGAUCUUCAAAGUCUAUAGCAUCUGCUUCCUAGAUUUGCUCCUAUAUGCUUGACUAAAGGUUGUGUUUUUUGUUUAUACUUGAACUGGAAAAAGGGAAAACAAUAACAAUAAGGUUGUUGGCUUGGAAAGCUUAAACAAAAACUUUGCAAAACUUGCUGUAAACUUUGCAUUCAGAGGUUAAUGUGAUGAUCAGAAUAAAUUGCCUUUCUGAUUUUGAGUUCAUCAUCAAGUUAAUUAGAUAAUAAGAUUGUGAGACUUGUUCGCAUUUUGUUUGUGAUCUCAUUAUGAUAUUUCAUGGACUUGCAUAUUGCAAAAAUCACAGAAAAGAGAGAGUAAUAAUUUCUCAACCACACUCAUUGAAGACUUUCUGAAGCUUCUCUGCUUUCCAGAAUGCAACUGUUUGUGAUAAGGGUUCAUGGUAAUAACUUGUUGAUGCAUUGACUUGGUUUGAUGAACGAAAUACACAAACAUCGUGUGUCAUAGAUUUUUGAAAUCAUUACAGCUUU
This 3314-nucleotide long non-coding RNA is filed under the name Capsicum annuum. Its description in RNAcentral is "long non-coding RNA (CANN_LNC019412)". Lineage: Eukaryota; Viridiplantae; Streptophyta; Magnoliopsida; Solanales; Solanaceae. The record is from RNAcentral.